Molecule: ribosomal RNA, 575 nt
Filed under: uncultured bacterium
Lineage: Bacteria
Description: bacterial SSU rRNA
Rfam family: Bacterial small subunit ribosomal RNA
Source: RNAcentral
CCUACGGGAGCAGCAGUGAGGAAUAUUGGACAAUGGGCGCAAGCCUGAUCCAGCCAUGCCGCGUGCAGGAAGAAGCAUCUAUGGUGUGUAAACUGCUUUUGUACGGGAAGAAACACCUCUACGUGUAGAGGCUUGACGGUACCGUAAGAAUAAGGAUCGGCUAACUCCGUGCCAGCAGCCGCGGUAAUACGGAGGAUCCAAGCGUUAUCCGGAAUCAUUGGGUUUAAAGGGUCCGUAGGCGGUUUGAUAAGUCAGUGGUGAAAGCCCAUCGCUCAACGAUGGAACGGCCAUUGAUACUGUCAGACUUGAAUUACUAGGAAGUAACUAGAAUAUGUAGUGUAGCGGUGAAAUGCUUAGAUAUUACAUGGAAUACCAAUUGCGAAGGCAGGUUACUACUAGUGGAUUGACGCUGAUGGACGAAAGCGUGGGGAGCGAACAGGAUUAGAUACCCUGGUAGUCCACGCCGUAAACGAUGGAUACUAGCUGUUGGGAGCAAUCUCAGUGGCUAAGCGAAAGUGAUAAGUAUCCCACCUGGGGAGUACGUUCGCAAGAAUGAAACUUAAAUGAAAUUGACG